AAUAGAUACCCCGGUAGUCCACGCCGUAAACGAUGAGUGCUAAGUGUUAGAGGGUUUCCGCCCUUUAGUGCUGAAGUUAACGCAUUAAGCACUCCGCCUGGGGAGUACGGCCGCAAGGCUGAAACUCAAAGGAAUUGACGGGGGCCCGCACAAGCGGUGGAGCAUGUGGUUUAAUUCGAAGCAACGCGAAGAACCUUACCAGGUCUUGACAUCCUCUGAAAACCCUAGAGAUAGGGCUUCUCCUUCGGGAGCAGAGUGACAGGUGGUGCAUGGUUGUCGUCAGCUCGUGUCGUGAGAUGUUGGGUUAAGUCCCGCAACGAGCGCAACCCUUGAUCUUAGUUGCCAUCAUUAAGUUGGGCACUCUAAGGUGACUGCCGGUGACAAACCGGAGGAAGGUGGGGAUGACGUCAAAUCAUCAUGCCCCUUAUGACCUGGGCUACACACGUGCUACAAUGGACGGUACAAAGAGCUGCAAGACCGCGAGGUGGAGCUAAUCUCAUAAAACCGUUCUCAGUUCGGAUUGUAGGCUGCAACUCG
Molecule: ribosomal RNA, 537 nt
Filed under: uncultured bacterium
Lineage: Bacteria
Description: bacterial SSU rRNA
Rfam family: Bacterial small subunit ribosomal RNA
Source: RNAcentral